RNAcentral lists this long non-coding RNA (883 nucleotides) under Nicotiana benthamiana. RNAcentral's name for it is "long non-coding RNA (NBEN_LNC018157)". Lineage: Eukaryota; Viridiplantae; Streptophyta; Magnoliopsida; Solanales; Solanaceae. The record is from RNAcentral.
ACGAACCAAGCAGCAAAAUCCCAUAAUUGUUCAAUCCUCAAGUUCAGUCAUAGAAUUCAAACCUGAUUCCUCUCUUUUCUGAGUAGAUAACAAAAAGACAAGAGAAAAGAAGAGGAAAAUCAAAAUAUUUUUCUACUGCAUGUUAAAACCACUUCUAAAACAGAGAAAAUCUAUCUCAAUUGAAGCUAUAAUUCUGAAAGCAGAACCUUCUCGAUCGACAAUACAGAUUCAAUUUCUGAAAGUCCAGAAAGAAAACCCAUUAAAGAGGGAAUUGAUCUCUAUAUAUCAAUAGAGAAAACAAAAUUCACUUCUUUUCUACAAAUACAGAAUAAAUAUCAGUAAUCCAGAUACAAUUCAGUCUUUUAAAAUCCAGAAAACCCCAUUAAAGAGGAAAUUGAUCUAAAAACCAUGUUAAAAAUCCUUUCUUUUCUGCUAUAUCCCAACUCCACGGAGAUAGCAACCAUGAAAGUCAAACAUCCCUUAAAUCCAAAAAUGGAAAAAAGUUACGAACAAGGAAAAGAAGAGCCCAAAAACCUAAAAAAGUACAAAAACAUGAUGCAUGCACUCCCAACAAAACAAGAAAAGUGAGGUAAUAGGGGCUACCCCAAGUGGGGUUUGUGGGGGUGUGGUUAGGGAUGAGUAAGGAAGAAGAAGAAGGUUUAAUAUAAAAAAAAUAAAAAUAAAAUAAAAAAAUCUCACCUUUGAGUUGUGUUGGAGCAAAGUGAAACUCAAAAUUCGUAAUGGACAAUAAGGAUGACUCCAAAAUAUGAAAAAGAAUAAAAUUUUGAGAGAGAGAAAAAGGGCAAAACGGAAGAUGAACUUUGCAUGGAAGGGACGAAUGAAGAAAAGGGAAUUCAGAACUCGUAAAGCGAAAGCAAAACUG